CUUAGCUAUUGCUUAAAGAUAUAAAAAUAAAUCAGACCCUGAGACUUCUCAGAGGGAACCUGAACAUUGCUUGUGAAGGUUCUUUUCUCAUCAUUGGCCCAGGACCUCUCCCCUUCCUACCCUACAUCGACUGCAGCUGGUCUGCGGCAUUUCUCAGAAGGCCAGGUAGAGACUUCAUUUCUGCUUGAUGAUAUGGAGCUUUAGCUUGAGUGACUCCACUGCUUUCCUUGGUGCUUGUUUGUUUGUGAUGCUAGGAACUGAACCAAAGGCUCCAACAUGCUAGGCAAGUGCAGAGGAGUGCAGGAGAUCUGUCGACAUGCUAGAGACCUGAAGAAUCCAGGCCUGGAUCCCACAGCAGUGUCCUGCACAAGUCCAGCUAAAGGCUGAGAGCUCCCGGCAGUGUCCCAUGCAAGUCCUUAUUGAGGAUCUGCACCGGGAAGGCUCCAAGGCCAGCAGUGGAAGUAGAAAGUGUACCCCAGCGGGGUGAAGAGUCUGUGCCACCAGGCUGAGGGAUCCACACUGGAGCCAGGAAGUGACACUCAAAACAGAGACCAGAGCUCCCCUGAGAACAGCAGCUGUCCCCAGCCACGCAGGACUCAGCUCCUCCGAGGAUGAGAGCACCCCAAUUUGCAUCAGGAAAACCAGCCUCAGGAAGUUUCUCCAAGAAAAUCAAUGACCAGUGAUCUUCCUCUUCAGUUCUCUUUUCCUGCCAUCGGAAGCAAUCCUCAGGCUCAAAGAUCCUCCUGCUUCAGCCUCCCAAGUUGCUGAGGGACUAUAGGGAUGGAACUCAGGACCUUCCACUUGCAAGGUAGGCUCGGUGCCACUGAUCUAAAUCCCCAGCCCCCAGGGGCUCCAACUUUUGAUCCUCCUGCCCUAGCAUCUCAGACAGCUGGGAUUACAGACAGGAGCCACCAAGCCCAGCUCCAUUUCCUCAUCAAGCCACCUAGUCAAUCUAAUCUAAAUUAACCAUCUCCCAGGGCCACAGCCCUAAGGAUGAUACUUAGAUUAAGUUCCCCACCUCUUAACACCAUCCCAUCACUGUAAGUCUUUGGGGGAUCAAAUCCCUGCCUGAAUUGGGGACAAACUAUUUUCUUUUUCUUUUUUUGUUUUUUUGAGACUGAGUCUUGCUAUAUAGUUCAGGCUGCCCUUGAACUCACUAUGUAGCCUAGGUUGGCCUUGAACUCUUGGAGAUCCUCCUGCCUCAGCCUCAGAGUGCUGGGAUUACAGGCAUGCGCCACCAUGCUCAGCACAAGGGGACAAACCAUUUUCAACCCACAGCAGUCUGACUUCUUUGUGUUCCAGCUGGACACCUUCUCCUCCCCAAGGAUCCCCUGCCUCCCAUCCCUGUUACUGUGUCAUCGCUAUGAGGGUGGCUCUGUCUCUACCACUGAACUUUAGGCAACUAAAGUCCACCUAAAGUGACUGCUGGGUCCCCAACCCUACUCAUCACAGGACCUGACUCUGUGCUCAGGGUAAAUGAGUCCCUCGAAGGAAAUGUCCAUUCCUGGAAGGGAGCCAGGGCAGGAGUCCUCACGGUGUCUCAUGGAAGAUGAGGGUGCAGACUGGGCUCAGAGAUGCCUGAGUUCAUUGGGGUUUUUUUGGUUUUUUUGGAGUACCAGGAAUCAAACUCAGGUCUUUGCACUUGCGCAGCAGGCGGCGCAGCCACUGAGCUAAAUCCCCAGCCCAUAGAGACGCCUGAGUUCAAAUCCUCUGCUCAGGCAGUGGGUCUAGGCCCCUGAAAACUUCAUUACUUUCAUCUGCUUCCAAGUCAGGAAACUGGGAGAGUGAGGCUGUCCCAGGUAUUAGUAGAGAUAAUGUCAGACUACAUG
Molecule: long non-coding RNA, 1829 nt
Organism: Heterocephalus glaber (naked mole-rat)
Lineage: Eukaryota; Metazoa; Chordata; Mammalia; Rodentia; Bathyergidae
Source: Ensembl